UUCCGGUUGAUCCCGCCGGACCCCACUGCUAUCGGGAUGGGACUAAGACAUGCUAGUCGUGCGCUUCCAAGCCAUGAUGGAGGCGCGGCACACAGCUCAGCAACACGUGGCUAACCUGCCCUUUGGACGGGAACAUCCCCGGGAAACUGGGGCUAAUUCCCGAUGGGUGAGGAUUCCUGGAAUGGAACUUCGCCUAAAGGGCGCUUAGAGCAUGCUUCUAGGCGUUGCCCAAGGAUGGGGCCGCGGCCGAUCAGGUUGUUGGUGAGGUAACGGCUCACCAAGCCUUUAACCGGUACGGGCCGUGGGAGCGGGAGCCCGGAGAUGGGCACUGAGACAAGGGCCCAGGCCCUACGGGGCGCAGCAGUCGCGAAAACUUCGCAAUACGCGAAAGCGUGACGAGGUCAUCCCGAGUGCUGUCUGCUGAGGACGGCUUUUCCCUAGUGUAGAUAGCUGGGGGAAUAAGGUGAGGGCAAGUCUGGUGUCAGCCGCCGCGGUAAUACCAGCUCUCCGAGUGGUGGGGAUGUUUAUUGGGCCUAAAGCAUCCGUAGCUGGCUGGGCAAGUCCUCCGUUAAAUCCAGCGAUUUAAUCGUUGGCCUGCGGGGGAUACUGUUCGGCUUGGAGGCGAGAGAGGCCGACGGUAUUCUCGGGGUAGGGGUGAAAUCCUAUAAUCCCGGGAAGACCACCAGUGGCGAAGGCUGUCGGCUAGAACGCGCUCGACGGUGAGGGAUGAAAGCUGGGGGAGCGAACCGGAUUAGAUACCCGGGUAGUCCCAGCCGUAAACGAUGCACGCUAGGUGUUAGGGCGGCUACGCGCCGCUCUAGUGCCGCAGGGAAACUGUUUAGCCUGCCGCCUGGGGAGUACGGCCGCAAGGCUGAAACUUAAAGGAAUUGGCGGGGGAGCACCACAAGGGGUGAAGCUUGCGGUUUAAAUGGAGUCAACGCCG
This 943-nucleotide ribosomal RNA is filed under the name uncultured archaeon. RNAcentral describes it as "bacterial SSU rRNA". It matches the Rfam family "Archaeal small subunit ribosomal RNA", at positions 1 to 920 of the family's 1478-position model. The record is from RNAcentral.